UACCGCCUCCUGCCGUUCACUGCGUAGCAGCUACGGAUAUCAGGAAAGAGGGAGAGGAAGAAAAAGUCCGUUUUUCCAAGUGGAAAGCGUGGUUCCUUUAUUCAGUCGGAUUGUUCGGUGGAAAUAGACUAUCUAGACUUUGCUGUUGACCAGAAAGGAGCUUGUUACUGCUCGGAUUCUUCUGGUUGUGCUACAACACUUCACCAUCGCCAUUUUGAAGCUCCAGGAGAGCCCAUUUUAUUGGUUACUUUGGUCAGGUUUUUUUGUUGGGAGUACAGUUCGGUGAUGAUCCAGUCCAAAGAUGGCGAGCCACCCUUCCAGGAUCCUUGAGAUGAUUGUUUUAAAAGAGAACUAAAUUCUUUGGACGAGCCGUGGACUGUACAAACUCUACUUACGUGGUAGGACAGAUUUGCACUUCAUUCCUCCUUUGCACAUCCUGCAAGGAGAAUCUUCAUUGCUGGACUCACACUUAAGGGUGUCGGCUGACACGAGAGAGAGACUGAUUCAAAUCCCCCGGGGGGGGGGGGGGUGUUUGUUUAUUAUUUUCCAUGACUUGGGCCCAAUUUUUCCUUUCAUGUACUGUUAUUGUUUUCAUUGUAUGUAUGUGCGAUUCUUUAAUUGUGAAUACAAUUUGAUCAAACCAAGUUCUUUGAGCGUUUCAUUAGUCAUCCACUCUGCUCCAGUGGUCGAACCUCAGCUAUUGGCCCAACACACAAGUAACCAUCUAAAUCUGUAUCCCAAGUGUUGAAAGGGGUGUUACAUGCUGAUUUUGCUUCUACAACUUCAGUGCUGUUUAUUUAAGUCAACAUUAAAUCUUCUUUCAUGUCU
Oreochromis aureus is the source of this 828-nucleotide long non-coding RNA. RefSeq lists it as uncharacterized. The record is from RefSeq and is a predicted model, not a curated record. The transcript is spliced from 3 exons. NCBI's taxonomy places the organism in Eukaryota, Metazoa, Chordata, Actinopteri, Cichliformes, Cichlidae.